AACUCUUUCCUGUGUGGUCAUCCUUCAACUCUUUUUCACAUGGUGCCUUGAUGAACAGGGAAGCUACAUGUCAGAGAUUGCCUAAUCAUAUGAUGGAAACAGACUGAUUCAAUGAAUAACAGUUUGGCAAUAGCACUGAGCCAGGCUGUUGCUCAAGCCACACUGGAUUUGCAGCCAAGGAUAAGACUUCCACAGGGCCCGAUUUGGAUUCUCCAUCCCUGCCAUCACCCUGCCAUGAACACUCAGACCCUCGGCUGUUUGGUCCUCUGUAUCCUGCUGGCAAAGGCCGCAGAUACUGGAGUCAUCCAGACACCCAGGCUUAAGGUGACAGAGAAGGGAAAAGAAGUCACUCUGAGAUGUAAGCCCGCUUCAGGUCAUAAUACCCUCUUCUGGUAUAGGCAGAUGGUGGGACAGGCGCUGGAAUUGUUGAUUUACUUCAAUAACCAGGCUCCAAUAGAUGAUUCAGGAAUGCCCAAAGAUCGAUUCUCAGCCGAGAUGCCUGACACAAAGCUCUCCACUCUGAAGAUUCAGCCCACAGAAGCCAAGGAUUCUGCUGUGUACUUCUGUGCCAGCAGUUAA
This is a non-coding RNA of Ochotona curzoniae (black-lipped pika), 579 nucleotides long. The record is from the annotation of a RefSeq genome assembly. NCBI's taxonomy places the organism in Eukaryota, Metazoa, Chordata, Mammalia, Lagomorpha, Ochotonidae.